GUAGCUCAGUGGUAGAGCAGCCGCCUUGUAAGCGGCAGGUCAGGGGUUCAACUCCCCUC
RNAcentral lists this transfer RNA (59 nucleotides) under Porticoccaceae bacterium. Its description in RNAcentral is "tRNA-Thr". It matches the Rfam family "tRNA", at positions 7 to 64 of the family's 71-position model. Rfam says of the family: Transfer RNA (tRNA) molecules are approximately 80 nucleotides in length. Their secondary structure includes four short double-helical elements and three loops (D, anti-codon, and T loops). Lineage: Bacteria; Pseudomonadati; Pseudomonadota; Gammaproteobacteria; Cellvibrionales; Porticoccaceae. The record is from RNAcentral.